CUGCAUGCUUCAGUACAGUUAUUUGCAGUCAUAGAAGACACGUCUGUUAUCUUUAAAAAUGUUUUUAAAAAAUCUCACUAAUAGUUUGUAGCGUUUUUGAGCAAAAAACAUGAUUUAUCAGCCUGUCCUGGCUACUGCACUUGUGCAGAUCUCCACAUUGCGGUAGCUUCCUUAGUUGCGCAACGAUAUUAUUGACCCUUCUCAGCUUUUGGCUCAGCCAACAAGCUGAUUGGCUCUUUUAUUUAAAGAGCAGGACUUUUUCUUUAAACCAUGUCUUUCCAUGAUCAUCUCUAACCAUGAAUAAAACCACUUACAGAUGAUUAGAGAUUGUCUAUGUGACAAUCAGUGCCACAGUACGGAUAUGGAUACAUACAAUCAUAAUGUCUUUUUGGGAACCUUAAAUAUCCAUUAUAGCGCUGUUGUAUUCUAUUGGUUUCUAAGCUCUGCUCUCUUUUGACAUGUGCAUCAGUUAAAAAAAAAGUACAUGAACCUUUUUUUUUUUUUUUUUUU
Molecule: long non-coding RNA, 510 nt
Organism: Astyanax mexicanus (Mexican tetra)
Lineage: Eukaryota; Metazoa; Chordata; Actinopteri; Characiformes; Acestrorhamphidae
Exons: 2
Source: RefSeq, a predicted model, not a curated record